UUGACGGGGGCCCGCACAAGCGGUGGAGCAUGUGGUUUAAUUCGAUGAUACGCGAGGACCUUACCUGGGCUCGAACGUAAGAUGACUGUAGGUGAAAGCUUACAUCUCUUCGGAGCAUUUUUACGAGGUGCUGCAUGGUUGUCGUCAGCUCGUGCCGUGAGGUGUCGGGUUAAGUCCCAUAACGAGCGCAACCCUACCUUUAGUUGCCAUCAGGUAAUGCUGGGGACUCUAAAGGAACUGCCUACGCAAGUAGUGAGGAAGGCGGGGAUGACGUCAAAUCAGCACGGCCCUUACGUCCAGGGCUACACACGUGCUACAAUGGCCGAUACAGAGGGCAGCUACCUGGUGACAGGAUGCAAAUCUCCAAAGUCGGUCUCAGUUCGGAUCGGAGUCUGCAACCCGACUCCGUGAAGUUGGAUUCGCUAGUAAUCGCGCAUCAGCCAUGGCGCGGUGAAUACGUUCCCGGGCCUU
This 471-nucleotide ribosomal RNA is filed under the name uncultured Sphingobacteriales bacterium. Its description in RNAcentral is "bacterial SSU rRNA". It matches the Rfam family "Bacterial small subunit ribosomal RNA", at positions 910 to 1382 of the family's 1533-position model. The record is from RNAcentral. Lineage: Bacteria; Pseudomonadati; Bacteroidota; Sphingobacteriia; Sphingobacteriales.